This is a long non-coding RNA of Ursus maritimus (polar bear), 2448 nucleotides long. The record is from Ensembl. Lineage: Eukaryota; Metazoa; Chordata; Mammalia; Carnivora; Ursidae.
CCAUGGGCAGGUGACUGGGCUGCCCAGCCUCAGCGGACAACCCGUCCUUGAGGAGCGCGGGGUGGGGGUAGAGCCUGGCUCAGUGGCCUCUGUGCCUUCACAGCUCUAGGUGCUUUCCUGCUAGUUGCCAGCGCCCUGUGUGGGUUUGCUGGGUUAUUGACCUAUCUCUCCUCCAGGCUGGGGACAGUCUUCUGCUUCUUUCCUCCCAGCACGAUGCCUAGCACUGAAUAGGUGCGUGAAAUGCUCACCGGUACACGUGGUUAAAAGGCUCCACAGUCCCUCCCAGAGCCAUUCAGGUCCCUUUGUCUGCUUGUGCCCUCCCUACCUGCACUCCUUCCUUCCUCUUAACUCCUACUUAUCCUUUCACCUGUCCCGGUAUACCAUUAUACCAUACCGACUCCUGGUGGUUCAGAUACUCCCCGCCCCUCACCCCUACUGUGUUCUGAUCACACUUCUCUCCCCACCCUGCUGACUUGUCCUUUUCCAUCUUGUGAAUGGUUCCCAGCAGAGUGCCUGGGAUGUAGCAGAUGCUCCCUAAAUGUUCCCUGACCAAUAGGUGCUGUUUGGAUUUUGUGUUUGAGUCGAACUCGUGUGCCUGGGCUGAGGCUUUGUCUUCGCCUGGACCCGACUCGCCCCACCGCGGCUCCUGUCCCCACCACCUCCCACCUCCGGUCCGACAUCUAGCCAGACUGAACCACUCAGCAUUGUCUAGAUGUCACGUUCUCUUCCUUCUAGGCAGACUUGUGCUGUUCCUUCUGCCUGGAAUACUUUUUCUCCAGCUUCUGCUCUUCCUCAGCAGUCAACUCAGGCAAAACCUUUUCCAGGGAGCCUUCUCUCACCCCACUGGUCUGGGUCUAGUGCUUCUCCCGUGUUCCCAUAGCUGCCAGGGACCCCCAGCAGAGCCCUGGGCUCCCCACAGCCAACGGUAUUUGGUGACUCGGCCUCUCCCAGUAGCCUGUCUGGUUCCCUCUUGUCACCCCAAGAGCCCAGCCCAGGGCCUGGCACCAAGCAAGUGCUCAGAAAAUGUUGGCAGCACAGCGGGUAACUGGCGGUCACACAUCCCGGCUGACAGUAGCUCUCACUUCCUCAUAGGGAGGCAGCUUCCAUGGAGCGAGAGGAAUGCCAAGACCCUGCCCAGACAGACGGGGGCCAGCCUCAGCACCGACAGCCAGCACGCAGAUAGCAGAGCCGUGCGCGGGAUCCAGGGCAUCGGACAAAGGUGGCAGGAGACAGAAUGCUUCUUCCUUCUCCCGACUCAGCGGCCGGCUGAGGAGGAUGUGGCUGCUGGACUUCAGAUGCCAGCGUUAAGUUUCCUUGUGAAUCCCGGUGCUUUUCUCUCUCGGCGCAGAUCUUGUGAGUCUGGGUUGUUAACCAGACCAUCUUGUGACCACACUUCCCAAGGUGUGUUCCAUGGAACACCAGUUUCUGUGGCCGCAGUGGUUGGAUAGCCCUGGGAAACAAGUUAUCCCUGCUGCAGGACUUCUUAGCCUGGACUGCGUCGAAGGGAGCGCGAGGUGGCUUGUAGAGAGAGCCUUGGAGAGGGAGUCGGCACGUUGUGUGUCCCCCCACUUAUUUGAUCAUGGGGACUGGGGUUCCUUGGCCUGCACUUUGGAAACCGGUUCCCACAGGCAGGAGAGUGUACUGGUUAAGGACCCAGACUUCAUAGACCGGGGUUUGAGUCCUUGCUGUCAUGUGUUCAGUGAGGGGCUGUGGGCCGGUCACCCUACCUCUCUGAGCCUCAGUUUCCUUAGCUGUAAAGAGGUGAUCAUUUUAGCACCUUACCUCCCUGUAGGGUAUUUUGAAGGUGAAAUAUAUUGAUAGAGGGAAGGCACUUAACAGAGGAUGUCCCAGGAUGUGUUCUGGAACCUGAGCGGCAUUGGGUGGACUACUCUAUAAUUUAUAAAACACAUCUUAUCGAUGAUUUCCUCUGACCAUUUGAGGAAGCUCAGGCAGUGGCCUUGGUCCCUCGUUUACAGAUGUGGAAACUGAGGUUCAGAGGGAGGAAGCAGCUUGCCCAAGGGUUCAGGAAGGAAGGAGGGAUGUGGGACUGGAACCAGAUCCUAGACUCCCGGGUCAGGGUCCUUUGUUCUGUGCCUGAGGCCUCCCUGCAUCCUCCUGUCACCUCGGCUUUUGGGUAAGGAAGACCUGGCCCUCCCCAGCUUGGAGUUUUAAAGAAAUAGUAAUUUUUUUUUUUGGAUAAUUAACCAACAUAGUUGCAUGUUCGCUGUAGGUUUUUAUAGUGUUUUGAUUUUGAUGUCAUGGAAAGCGAAAGUCUCCUGUGAUCCCCAUCUCCAGAGAUAUGAAUGGGGAGGAGUGUAUUAUUCACAUGUGUUAUUACUAUUUGCUUAUUUUUCCCAUGUCAAGUCUUGUUAGGGCUGCUGGUUCACAGUUUGCUCCCGUUUCAUUUCCUGGCCCCCCCAGGACCUCUUUCCCAGGCAAGGGGGGAUC